Molecule: long non-coding RNA, 697 nt
Filed under: Mus pahari (shrew mouse)
Lineage: Eukaryota; Metazoa; Chordata; Mammalia; Rodentia; Muridae
Description: lncRNA (MGP_PahariEiJ_G0002176.1)
Source: RNAcentral
AGACCUCCCAAAGGUGGUUCUGGUACUGGGAGGAGAGGUAGGCCCCAGGGUGGGGCAGUCCAGGUAGCCUGAAAGGGAAGCAAGUUCCUGGCACACAGCUGAAGAGACACUCCUGGGGAUCCACCUGGUCGCAAAACCUCCCCCUUGGCUUCCUCCUGUUGUUCACACAGUAGACCCAAAGUUCCAGGGGAUCCAAGGCUGCCCUCUAGCCUCUCCACACACACACAUUGAGAGGGAGAGGGAGAGGGAGAGGGAGAGGGAGAGGGAGAGAGAAGCUAAGGACCUUGAUGAUCCUUGAUGCUCACUCAGCAAUACAUGGCCCUGCUCUGAAGUCCCCAGAACCCUGGAAACCACAGGCUGUCUUCUACCAGACAGCACCCGUCAAAUCCCCAAUCAUCAGAGGACCUGAUGUUGGACAUGCACUUCACCAUAGCCUUUGGUAGAGACUCUUUCUUUGAACCAUUUUGCCUGGUUUUAGGGUCUUCACUGCAGGGUGAAAUUUUGGGGUCCCUAAGGCCCCUGCACCACACUACAAGAACUGGUUUACAUCCUAGUACACUUUUCUCGAACAUACUAACCAUCACACUCCUGCCCCAGGACUGUGGGCAGGGCACUGCUGUGCACCCUGUUGGGCUGUAAGGGCAGUAGAUAGAGCAAGGGUCUCACCAGUCAACCUUCCUGUGAGGAGUGUUUGGAA